UAUCUUGACAUUUUAAUUUUAUUUACUUAUUUAUUUAUCUAUUUAUUUAUUUACUUAAUUUUAGAGCACGCGCAAGAGAGCACAGACAUGAGCAGGGAAGAGGGACAGAGGGAAAGAGAGAGAGAAUCUUAACCAGACCCCAUGCUCAGCAUUGAAUCUGAUGCAGGGAUCGAUCCCAGGACCCUGAGAUCAUGACCUACGCUGAAAUCAAGAGUUAGAUGCUCAGCCAACUUAGCCACCCUGGCACCCCUGUCUUGACAUUUUAAGGAAUGAAAUCACAAAUGAAAACAGAGAUCAACUCUCCUGGAAAACCUACUCUAAGACAGAGAUAAACGUCCAAGAGUUUCUUAGGAUGUGCUCCGGGCAUCUACAAUUGUUGGAGGGGAGAAGCAGGAACAGCAAAGGGAAAAUGAGGUGUGAUACAGUCUGAAGGAAACCUCCACUGAUGCUCUGGCGAGUUCUGAAGCUGGACUAUCUCUAGACUUGAGCUUUUCCACACGGCAUAAAGACUUGAUACAUGAAGAUCAAUCAGCCUUUUGGCAAUCGUUAGGUAGCGAGAAUGAAGAUGAAGUUCAACCUGCUGAGAAUCACCUGCUGGGAAGACAAAGAAACGGGUUCCAUGAAUCACCAUUGAGACUCUACACCAAGCCCAUACUCUUUCCCUUGGCCCUUUCUUGUUUAUAUGGCAGAAGACUUGAGUGGUUGGGUCACCCGGAUUAAGGGCGGGGAGAAUAGGAAGAGGGAAGAGAUAUCAUCCAGGCGAGUCUCCAGCUGACCCUCCAGUUUUCAAGAACAGCAGAUCUUUUCAGGUGAGCUUAGCACAGAGAGAUAAGCCAUUAUUUGUUAUAAUAAUAGUAAUGAUAAUAAUAAAUAAUAUUUAACAAUUAAAU
This 890-nucleotide long non-coding RNA is filed under the name Felis catus (domestic cat). Its description in RNAcentral is "lncRNA (ENSFCAG00000049241.1)". The record is from RNAcentral. Lineage: Eukaryota; Metazoa; Chordata; Mammalia; Carnivora; Felidae.